Molecule: ribosomal RNA, 1385 nt
Filed under: metagenome
Description: bacterial SSU rRNA
Rfam family: Bacterial small subunit ribosomal RNA
Source: RNAcentral
AGACCUUCGGGUCUAGUGGCGCACGGGUGCGUAACGCGUGGGAAUCUGCCCUUAGGUACGGAAUAACUCAGAGAAAUUUAUGCUAAUACCGUAUGAUGUCGAAAGACCAAAGAUUUAUCGCCUAAGGAUGAGCCCGCGUAAGAUUAGCUAGUUGGUAAGGUAAAAGCUUACCAAGGCGACGAUCUUUAGCUGGUCUGAGAGGAUGAUCAGCCACACUGGGACUGAGACACGGCCCAGACUCCUACGGGAGGCAGCAGUGGGGAAUAUUGGACAAUGGGCGAAAGCCUGAUCCAGCAAUGCCGCGUGAGUGAUGAAGGCCUUAGGGUUGUAAAGCUCUUUUACCAGGGAUGAUAAUGACAGUACCUGGAGAAUAAGCUCCGGCUAACUCCGUGCCAGCAGCCGCGGUAAUACGGAGGGAGCUAGCGUUGUUCGGAAUUACUGGGCGUAAAGCGUACGUAGGCGGUUAUUCAAGUCAGAGGUGAAAGCCUGGAGCUCAACUCCAGAACUGCCUUUGAAACUAGAUAGCUAGAAUCACGGAGAGGUUAGUGGAAUUCCGAGUGUAGAGGUGAAAUUCGUAGAUAUUCGGAAGAACACCAGUGGCGAAGGCGACUAACUGGACGUGUAUUGACGCUGAGGUACGAAAGCGUGGGGUGCAAACAGGAUUAGAUACCCUGGUAGUCCACGCCGUAAACGAUGAUAACUAGCUGUUCGGUCUCUACGAGACUGAGUGGCGCAGCUAACGCAUUAAGUUAUCCGCCUGGGGAGUACGGUCGCAAGAUUAAAACUCAAAGGAAUUGACGGGGGCCUGCACAUCGGUGGAGCAUGUGGUUUAAUUCGAAGCAACGCGCAGAACCUUACCAGCGUUUGACAUCCUAAUCGCGGUUUUCAGAGAUGAUUACCUUCAGUUCGGCUGGAUUAGUGACAGGUGCUGCAUGGCUGUCGUCAGCUCGUGUCGUGAGAUGUUGGGUUAAGUCCCGCAACGAGCGCAACCCUCGUCUUUAGUUGCCAUCAUUCAGUUGGGCACUCUAAAGAAACUGCCGGUGAUAAGCCGGAGGAAGGUGGGGAUGACGUCAAGUCCUCAUGGCCCUUACACGCUGGGCUACACUCGUGCUACAAUGGCGGUGACAGUGGGCAGCAACCGGGCGACCGGUAGCUAAUCUCCAAAAACCGUCUCAGUUCGGAUUGUUCUCUGCAACUCGAGAGCAUGAAGGUGGAAUCGCUAGUAAUCGCGGAUCAGCAUGCCGCGGUGAAUACGUUCCCAGGCCUUGUACACACCGCCCGUCACACCAUGGGAUUUGGAUUCACCCGAAGGCAGUGCGCUAACUCGCAAGAGAGGCAGCUGACCACGGUGGGUUUAGAGACUGGGGUGAAGUCGGAACAAGGUA